Molecule: ribosomal RNA, 617 nt
Filed under: uncultured bacterium
Lineage: Bacteria
Description: bacterial SSU rRNA
Rfam family: Bacterial small subunit ribosomal RNA
Source: RNAcentral
GAGUGAACGCUGGCGGCGUGCUUAACACAUGCAAGUCGAACGAGAACGGAUUAUAGCUUGCUAUAAAUGUCAGCUAAGUGGCGCACGGGUGAGUAAUAUAUAGAUAACCUGCCCUCUAGAAAGGAAUAACAGUUGGAAACGACUGCUAAUGCCCUAUAUGCCUUUAAUACAUAAGUAUGCAAGGGAAACGCUUUAGUGCUACAGGAUGGGUCUGUAUGGUAUCAGCUUGUCGGUGAGGUAAUGGCUCACCAAGGCUAUGACGCCUAACUGGUUUGAGAGGAUGAUCAGUCACACUGGAACUGAUACACGGUCCAGACUCCUACGGGAGGCAGCAGUGGGGAAUAUUGCACAAUGGACGAAAGUCUGAUGCAGCGACGCCGCGUGGAGGAUGACACAUUUCGGUGCGUAAACUCCUUUUAUAUGGGAAGAUAAUGACGGUACCAUAUGAAUAAGCACCGGCUAACUCCGUGCCAGCAGCCGCGGUAAUACGGAGGGUGCAAGCGUUACUCGGAAUCACUGGGCGUAAAGAGCGUGUAGGCGGGUAUAUAAGUCAGAAGUGAAAUCCAAUAGCUUAACUAUUGAACUGCUUUUGAAACUGUGUACCUAGAAUGUGGGAG